GGCUCAGGAUGAACGCUAGCGGCAGGCUUAAUACAUGCAAGUCGAGGGGCAGCAGGGUAGCAUAUCGCUGGCGACCGGCGCACGGGUGCGUAACACGUAUACAAUCUGCCUUUAACAGGGGGAUAGCCCGGAGAAAUCCGGAUUAAUACCCCAUAAUAGUAGAACUGACAUCAGUUUAUUUGAAAGCUCCGGCGGUUAAAGAUGAGUAUGCGUCCCAUUAGCUAGAUGGUAAGGUAACGGCUUACCAUGGCAACGAUGGGUAGGGGUCCUGAGAGGGAGAUCCCCCACACUGGUACUGAGACACGGACCAGACUCCUACGGGAGGCAGCAGUGAGGAAUAUUGGACAAUGGGCGCAAGCCUGAUCCAGCCAUGCCGCGUGCAGGAAGACGGUCCUAUGGAUUGUAAACUGCUUUUAUACAGGAAGAAACACCUCUACGUGUAGAGACUUGACGGUACUGUAUGAAUAAGCAUCGGCUAACUCCGUG
RNAcentral lists this ribosomal RNA (486 nucleotides) under uncultured bacterium. Its description in RNAcentral is "bacterial SSU rRNA". It matches the Rfam family "Bacterial small subunit ribosomal RNA", at positions 21 to 507 of the family's 1533-position model. The record is from RNAcentral.